This 521-nucleotide ribosomal RNA is filed under the name uncultured bacterium. RNAcentral describes it as "partial 16S ribosomal RNA". It matches the Rfam family "Bacterial small subunit ribosomal RNA", at positions 28 to 522 of the family's 1533-position model. The record is from RNAcentral.
GACGAACGCUGGCGGCGUGCCUAAUACAUGCAAGUCGAACGCAAAACUUUCACCGAAUGCUUGCAUUCACGAAAGUUUUGAGUGGCGAACGGGUGAGUAACACGUUGGUAACCUGCCCAGAAGAGGGGGAUAAAACUCGGAAACAGGUGCUAAUACCGCAUAAUAACAAAAACCGCAUGGUGUUUGUUUGAAAGUUGGGUUUGCUAUCACUUCUGGAAGGACCCGCGGCGGAUUAGCUAGUUGGUAAGGUAAAGGCUUACCAAGGCAAUGAUACGUAGCCGAACUGAGAGGUUGAUCGGCCACAUUGGGACUGAGACACGGCCCAAACUCCUACGGGAGGCAGCAGUAGGGAAUCUUCCACAAUGGACGAAAGUCUGAUGGAGCAACGCCGCGUGAGUGAAGAAGGUUUUCGGAUCGUAAAACUCUGUUGUUAGAGAAGAACGUGUGUGAGAGUAACUGCUUAUGCAGUGACGGUAUCUAACCAGAAAGCCACGGCUAACUACGUGCCAGCCGCCGCCUAA